UUCUCUUCGAUCUUCCUCUUUCUCUCAUCCUCCAACUUCUCUCUCAUCCUCUAUUCUUUUUCCUCCCGCAACUUGCUGCCGCUUGGAACUCGCAAGUUACGCCUUGCCUUGCUGUCACGGGCUGCUUGCCUCCGACUACGUUUGAUGCUCUGUCGGUUCGGUGUUUAGUGCUGUCUCUCCUCCUAAUAAAGUGAGAUGAAUGGGACUCCCUUGAGGGGUGAUAAGGACAAAUGCUCAAAUGAAUUUCAUGAAAUUUGAUCCCUAGACCUCAAGGAUAUGAGGUGGGGAACGAUGCCACGACUCCACUACCUUAACCUCUUUUUGUGUAGUUCUUUAUGCGUAACAGUGAAGUGAUUGUAUUUGUGGUUUGUGGAUUCUUUGUGCUUAUUCUAUUGCAUUUGAAUGCUACUAAUGAUUGAUGGUUUGUGUAAUGAUAAGAUGAUCUUGUUAA
This is a long non-coding RNA of Beta vulgaris subsp. vulgaris (sugar beet), 451 nucleotides long. RefSeq lists it as uncharacterized. The record is from RefSeq and is a predicted model, not a curated record. The transcript is spliced from 2 exons. Lineage: Eukaryota; Viridiplantae; Streptophyta; Magnoliopsida; Caryophyllales; Amaranthaceae.